Molecule: ribosomal RNA, 520 nt
Filed under: Loma branchialis
Lineage: Eukaryota; Fungi; Microsporidia; Glugeidae
Description: SSU rRNA
Rfam family: Microsporidia small subunit ribosomal RNA
Source: RNAcentral
UGCCGAAUAAUGGCGACGCGAAAGAGAAAUCGAGUAGGGCCCUGGGGAGAGUACACGCGCAAGCGAGAAAUUUAAAGGAAAUUGACGGAAGAACACCACAAGGAGUGGAGUGUGCGGCUUAAUUUGACUCAACGCGGGACAACUUACCGGGUCCGACGACCGUAAGAGUGUGACACACGAUAGGUCGAAGAGUGGUGCAUGGCCGUUAACGACGAGUGGAGUGAUCUUUGGGKUAAGUCCGUAAAUUAGUGAGACCUCAGCCGUAAGGGACAGGUGCGCAAAGCACAGGAAGGAUGGGUCAAGGACAGGUCAGUGAUGCCCUUAGAUGGUCCGGGCUGCACGCGCACUACAGUGGUCGCCGAAAUUACCUGAUAAUUUUAAAGGCGAUCGAGAGGGAAUGAGCUUUGUAAGAGGCUCAGGAACGAGGAAUUGCUAGUAAUCGCGGACUCAUUAAGACGCGAUGAAUACGUCCCUGUUCUUUGUACACACCGCCCGUCGUUAUCGAAGAUGAAGACAGGCG